RNAcentral lists this ribosomal RNA (518 nucleotides) under Annularia lima blandiana. RNAcentral describes it as "partial 16S small subunit ribosomal RNA". It matches the Rfam family "Bacterial large subunit ribosomal RNA", at positions 1807 to 2609 of the family's 2925-position model. Lineage: Eukaryota; Metazoa; Mollusca; Gastropoda; Littorinimorpha; Annulariidae. The record is from RNAcentral.
ACAAAAACAUGUCUCUUUGGUGUAUUUAUAUAAAGAGUUUAACCUGCCCGGUGAUUAUUAUUUAACGGCCGCAGUACUUUGACUGUGCGAAGGUAGCAUAAUUAUUUGCCUUAUAAUUGAAGGCUUGUAUGAAUGGUUUGACGAGAAUGAGUCUGUCUUAAUUUAAUUUUUUUGAAUUUAACCUUUAAGUGAAGAGGCUUUUAUUUAAUUGAUAGACAAGAAGACCCUGUCGAGCUUGAUUUUUUAUAUAUAAAUAUAUAUUUUUAUAUUAUUUAUAGAUUUUAGUUGGGGUGACUGAGGAAGUAUAUGAGUUUCCUUAUAAUUAUUUAAAUUUGUUGGUUUUGAUCCUUUUUAAUGAUUAGUAGAAUUAGUUACCGCAGGGAUAACAGCAUAAUCUUUUUUGAGAGUUCAUAUCGAAAAAUUGGUUUGUGACCUCGAUGUUGGAUUAAAAUUUCCUAAAGGUGCAGAAGUUUUUAAGGGUUAGUCUGUUCGACUAUUAAAAUUUUACAUGAGCUGAG